This 480-nucleotide ribosomal RNA is filed under the name uncultured bacterium. RNAcentral describes it as "SSU rRNA". It matches the Rfam family "Bacterial small subunit ribosomal RNA", at positions 26 to 523 of the family's 1533-position model. The record is from RNAcentral.
AGGACGAACGCUGGCGGCGUGCUUAACACAUGCAAGUCGAACGGUAAGGCCCUUCGGGGUACACGAGUGGCGAACGGGUGAGUAACACGUGGGUGAUCUGCCCUGCACUUCGGGAUAAGCUUGGGAAACUGGGUCUAAUACCGGAUAUGACUACGAAUCGCAUGGUUUGUGGUGGAAAGCUUUUGCGGUGUGGGAUGGGCCCGCGGCCUAUCAGCUUGUUGGUGGGGUGAUGGCCUACCAAGGCGACGACGGGUAGCCGGCCUGAGAGGGUGUCCGGCCACACUGGGACUGAGAUACGGCCCAGACUCCUACGGGAGGCAGCAGUGGGGAUAUUGCACAAUGGGCGCAAGCCUGAUGCAGCGACGCCGCGUGAGGGAUGGACGGCCUUCGGGUUGUAACCUCUUUCAGUAUCGACGAGCGCAAGUGACGGUAGGUACAGAAGGAAGGACCGGCCAACGUACGCGCCAGCAGCCGCGGUAA